This is a long non-coding RNA of Trichomycterus rosablanca, 692 nucleotides long. RefSeq lists it as uncharacterized. The record is from RefSeq and is a predicted model, not a curated record. The transcript is spliced from 2 exons. NCBI's taxonomy places the organism in Eukaryota, Metazoa, Chordata, Actinopteri, Siluriformes, Trichomycteridae.
UCCACAAGACGAUUGUUACUCUCUGUAUGCCUUUAGCCCAACAGGUCAAUCUGAUAGUUAUAAAUUGUGUGGAUGCCGUCAGAAAAAUGCCCAAACACACUGUAAAAGAAAAAAGAAAACAACUAUAAUUCUGAUACACGUCUAACAGGCUCAAAGAUGAACACCACCAACACAAGUUAACCUCACUGCAUGCCUUUGGACUGUAGGAAACCGGAGCUCCCGAGGAAACCCACACGGACACGGGGAGAACAUGCAAAAUCCACACAGAAAGGACCCGGACCGCCCCACCUGGGGAUUGAACCCAGGACUUUCUUGCCACCGUGCCUCCCGCUAAAUGUGUAUAAAUCCAGAUUUUACUGUCUGAGUUUUGUACAGUUAUUGAUCAGCUUUAAUUUUCUGUGCUGCACCAUUUCGGAGAAUAGAAAUGUAUACUGGAAACCAUGCACCAUACUUUACAGCUCAUUUCUGUAAUAAGUGUAAUGAAUGUCACACGUAUGAAGUGGUUCUCUUUACUAAAAAAUAAGUUUUAGUGUGGCUAGCAUUGAUCAGCCCUACUCUCACUGCAUUUUGCCUACUGUAUGGCUUUCUGUUACGCCCAUACUGAGAGUCAGCCAGUUCAUAUUGACCUUUAUUUCGAAUUUGACCAGUCUAAAUGAAAGUAAUCAGAAAUAAAAAUACAGUAAAGAACCUCU